This 480-nucleotide ribosomal RNA is filed under the name uncultured soil bacterium. RNAcentral's name for it is "bacterial SSU rRNA". It matches the Rfam family "Bacterial small subunit ribosomal RNA", at positions 26 to 518 of the family's 1533-position model. The record is from RNAcentral.
AGGACGAACGCUGGCGGCGUGCUUAACACAUGCAAGUCGAGCGGUAAGGCCUUUCGGGGUACACGAGCGGCGAACGGGUGAGUAACACGUGGGUGAUCUGCCCUGCACUUCGGGAUAAGCCUGGGAAACUGGGUCUAAUACCGGAUAUGACCUCCUAUCGCAUGGUGGGUGGUGGAAAGAUUUAUCGGUGCAGGAUGGGCCCGCGGCCUAUCAGCUUGUUGGUGGGGUAAUGGCCUACCAAGGCGACGACGGGUAGCCGACCUGAGAGGGUGACCGGCCACACUGGGGACUGAGACACGGCCCAGACUCCUACGGGAGGCAGCAGUGGGGAAUAUUGCACAAUGGGCGAAAGCCUGAUGCAGCGACGCCGCGUGAGGAUGACGGCCUUCGGGUUGUAAACCUCUUUCAGCAGGACGGAAGCGCAAGUGACGGUACCUGCAGAGAAGCAACCGGCUAACUACGUAGCCGAGCAACGCCCGC